CUACGGGUGGCUGCAGUAGGGAAUAUUGGGCAAUGGACGCAAGUCUGACCCAGCCACGCCGCGUGAAGGAUGACUGCCCUAUGGGUUGUAAACUUCUUUUGUAUGGGAAGAAACCUCCGAACGUGUUCGGAGCUGACGGUACCAUAAGAAUAAGCAUCGGCUAACUCCGUGCCAGCAGCCGCGGUAAUACGGAGGAUGCAAGCGUUCUCCGGAUUCAAAGGGUUUAAAGGGGGCGAAGGAAGUCAAUUAAGAAAGCUCGCAGCUUAACUGUGAAAAUGCCAUUGAAACUGAUUUUCUUGAGUUCGAUUGAGGUAGAUGGAAUGUAUCAUGUAGCGGUGAAAUGCUUAGAUAUGAUACAGAACACCAAUUGCGAAGGCAGUCUACUAAGUCGAUACUGACGCUGAGGCACGAAAGCAUGGGGAGCAAACAGGAUUAGAUACCCGGGUAGUC
This 450-nucleotide ribosomal RNA is filed under the name uncultured bacterium. RNAcentral describes it as "partial 16S ribosomal RNA". It matches the Rfam family "Bacterial small subunit ribosomal RNA", at positions 339 to 795 of the family's 1533-position model. The record is from RNAcentral.